GGAGCAGAGCAGUCAAAGAAUGAAGCAAAGCAAAUGAUUGUUCUAGAAUGGUUAUUCCUUACAAUUGCUCCUUGUGAUGCAGCGGAACCAUGGCAAUUAGGAUUUCAAGACGCAGCAAGCCCUAUGAUGCAAGGAAUAAUGGACUUACAUCACGAUAUCUUUUUCUUCCUCAUUCUGAUUUUGGUUUUUGUAUUAUGGAUCUUGGUUCGCGCUUUAUGGCAUUUCCACUAUCAAAAAAAUCCAAUCCCGCAAAGGAUUGUUCAUGGAACUACUAUCGAGAUUCUUUGGACCAUAUUUCCUAGUAUCAUCCUUAUGUUCAUUGCUAUACCAUCAUUUGCUCUGUUAUACUCAAUGGACGAGGUAGUAGUAGAUCCAGCCAUUACUAUCAAAGCUAUUGGACAUCAAUGGUAUUGGACUUAUGAGUAUUCAGACUAUAACAGUUCCGAUGAAGAGUCACUCACUUUUGACAGUUAUAUGAUUCCAGAAGAUGAUCUAGAAUUGGGUCAAUUACGUUUAUUAGAAGUGGACAAUAGAGUGGUUGUACCAGCCAAAACUCAUCUACGUAUUAUUGUAACAUCUGCUGAUGUACUUCAUAGUUGGGCUGUACCUUCCUUAGGUGUCAAAAAAUGUGAUGCUGUACCUGGUCGUUUAAAUCAGAUCUCUAUUUUGGUACAACGAGAAGGAGUUUACUAUGGUCAGUGCAGUGAGAUUUGUGGAACUAAUCAUGCCUUUAUGCCUAUCGUCGUAGAAGCUGUUUCUAGGAAAGAUUAUGGUUCUUGGGUAUCCAAUCAAUUAAUUCCCCAAACCGGGGAAGCUUAAGUGGAAAUGAAAGAAUAGGGUGAGGGAAAAGGGGGGAAGCCACUAAAUUGAAGGCUUCACUCGCUCGCUCUAACGCUCGUUUAGUAGACAGCGAGUGGAGUGCAUAAGCCCCUUUAGAGAUAGGGGGGAGUACUACACGAGCUCGUAAGUCAAGUACGGAACGAGCCUUGUCUACGAAGCAGAGCGACCUCGUCUUGCUUGCUUCUGGCGAAGCUUCUAGAACUAGAUAAUAGGCAUUUUUUUUAUGGUAGGAAAACGACUUUUUAGGCCGACUACUACAUAGGAGCGAUAGCGAAGCCAAGCCGUAUAAAGGCGAGCAGCCCUUAUAGCAAUAUCAAACGGCCUACUUAUAGCCCUCCCCGGGGACUUCAACGGGUCUUACAAGCUCAUAAAAAAAAUGGCAAUUCUUCACGUUUUCCUCAGAGAGUGGGAAUGAAUUCUAUUACUUGAUUGACAUUGACAGAUAUGUGUACCACACCGAACAAGCAAUAUGCCGAUAUGCUUGAUGUACCAGCCAAGCCAGCUCGACCGUAUACAGUAUAAGGGAUUCGCCUUUGCCUCAGACAAAAUAAAAACGGAUUGAACAGGACAGGACAACCGGGAAGGGAAGCCUGACAUAGAUAUUGAUUUGAACAAAGGAACUGAAACCGGUACCAGAAACCAAACAAGAGAUGGAAUUCCAGAUUGAACAGAUGACCGACCUACAAUAAGACGAAAAUAUGAUUCCUAAUUCCAUUCUCUAAGACGAAUUAAAGGGAUGUCUCUAAGCAGCCAAGGCCAAGAGCAAGCAAGAGUAGUCC
RNAcentral lists this unclassified non-coding RNA (1619 nucleotides) under Hevea brasiliensis (rubber tree). Lineage: Eukaryota; Viridiplantae; Streptophyta; Magnoliopsida; Malpighiales; Euphorbiaceae. The record is from RNAcentral.